GCGCCCGUAGCUCAAUUGGAUAGAGCGUCUGACUACGGAUCAGAAGGUUGGGUGUUCGAAUCAUCCCGGGCGCA
RNAcentral lists this transfer RNA (74 nucleotides) under Gemmatimonadota bacterium. RNAcentral describes it as "Gemmatimonadetes bacterium tRNA-Arg". It matches the Rfam family "tRNA". From Rfam's summary of the family: Transfer RNA (tRNA) molecules are approximately 80 nucleotides in length. RNAcentral also lists the same sequence under 1 other name. Lineage: Bacteria; Pseudomonadati; Gemmatimonadota. The record is from RNAcentral.